AAUUUGAAUUGGGGCGUGUCUAGAAAGAGAAGCCAUAGUCGGCGAGCACCGCUGGGGCAUCCCGCUCGGGUGCUGCUGCAGCCGGCAGAGAUGGUUGAGCUCAUGUUCCCGCUGUUGCUCCUCCUUCUGCCCUUCCUUAUGUAUAUGGCUGCGCCCCAAAUCAGGAAAAUGCUGUCCAGUGGGGCGUGUACAUCAACUGUUCAGCUUCCUGGGAAAGUAGUUGUGGUCACUGGAGCUAAUACAGGUAUCGGGAAGGAGACAGCCAAAGAGCUGGCUCAGAGAGGCAAGUUCACCUCCUUUCAAUUCCCUCCUAUUACUGCUGUUUUACCCCUCACAGUAAUGAUGAUUCAUUCUCAUUGUUUCUUCCCAGUUUUGGAAUUCAAGAACACCUAAGGAUUCCACUGAUUUGCUGAUCUGAAACUAGUACUAUGCUCUACAUAUAAUGGACCCUUAAUGAAUAUUAUUAAUUUAUUUUUCUUUACCUAUUUGCUAAUCAGAUACCUCUGUUGUGAAGAAAGGGUAAAAAUGUGUGUUUUUUAAAAAAAUGUUGGAAAUAACAUUAGAUUUAUAAUGCCAGCUCAAAACAGAGCUGACCAUUUCUCUUUCAUGUGUUGGCUGACAGGAGCUCGAGUAUAUUUAGCUUGCCGGGAUGUGGAAAAGGGGGAAUUGGUGGCCAAAGAGAUCCAGACCACAACAGGGAACCAGCAGGUGUUGGUGCGGAAACUGGACCUGUCUGAUACUAAGUCUAUUCGAGCUUUUGCUAAGGGCUUCUUAGCCGGUAAGUGUAGAACUAGAGAGAC
RNAcentral lists this small RNA (800 nucleotides) under Pan troglodytes (chimpanzee). RNAcentral describes it as "retained intron". The record is from RNAcentral. Lineage: Eukaryota; Metazoa; Chordata; Mammalia; Primates; Hominidae.